AGAGUUUGAUCAUGGCUCAGAGUGAACGCUGGCGGCGUGCCUAACACAUGCAAGUCGAACGAGAACGGAUUACAGCUUGCUGUAAUUGUCAGCUAAGUGGCGCACGGGUGAGUAAUAUAUAGUUAAUCUGCCCCAAAGAAGAGAAUAAUUGUUGGAAACGACUUGUAAUGCUCUAUAUGCCUUUAAGACAUAAGUUUGCAAGGGAAAUAUUUAUAGCUUUGGGAUGAGACUGUACGGUAUCAGCUAGUUGGUGAGGUAAUGGCUCACCAAGGCUAUGACAUCUAACUGGUUUGAGAGGAUGAUCAGUCACACUGGAACUGAGACACGGUCCAGACUCCUACGGGAGGCAGCAGUGGGGAAUAUUGCACAAUGGAGGAAACUCUGAUGCAGCAACGCCGCGUGGAGGAUGACACAUUUCGGUGCGUAAACUCCUUUUAUAUGAGAAGAUAAUGACG
RNAcentral lists this ribosomal RNA (455 nucleotides) under uncultured bacterium. RNAcentral's name for it is "bacterial SSU rRNA". It matches the Rfam family "Bacterial small subunit ribosomal RNA", at positions 8 to 456 of the family's 1533-position model. The record is from RNAcentral.